GGUUAAGUUAGAAAGGGCGCACGGUGGAUGCCUUGGCACUAGGAGCCGAAGAAGGACGGGACUAACACCGAUAUGCUUUGGGGAGCUGUACGUAAGCGUUGAUCCAGAGAUUUCCGAAUGGGGGAACCCACUAUCUUUAGUCGGAUAGUAUCCUUACGUGAAUACAUAGCGUGAGGAAGGCAGACCCAGGGAACUGAAACAUCUAAGUACCUGGAGGAAGAGAAAGAAAAAUCGAUUUCCUGAGUAGCGGCGAGCGAAACGGAAAGAGCCCAAACCAAGAAGCUUGCUUCUUGGGGUUGUAGGACACUCUAUACGGAGUUACAAAAGAAAGUUAUAAAUGAAGCGGUCUGGAAAGGCCCGCCAAAGACGGUAACAGCCCGGUAGUUGAAAUGGCUUUCCCUCCAGAGUGGAUCCUGAGUACGGCGGAACACGUGAAAUUCCGUCGGAAUCCGGGAGGACCAUCUCCCAAGGCUAAAUACUCCCUAGUGACCGAUAGUGAACCAGUACCGUGAGGGAAAGGUGAAAAGCACCCCGGAAGGGGAGUGAAACAGUUCCUGAAACCGUGUGCCUACAAGUAGUUAGAGCCCGUUAAUGGGUGAUAGCGUGCCUUUUGUAGAAUGAACCGGCGAGUUACGAUUUGUUGCAAGGUUAAGCGGAAAAAGCGGAGCCGUAGCGAAAGCGAGUCUGAAUAGGGCGCAUAAGUAACAGGUCGUAGACCCGAAACCAGGUGAUCUACCCAUGUCCAGGAUGAAGGUAAGGUAAUACUUACUGGAGGUCCGAACCCACGCACGUUGAAAAGUGCGGGGAUGAGGUGUGGGUAGCGGAGAAAUUCCAAUCGAACUUGGAGAUAGCUGGUUCUCUCCGAAAUAGCUUUAGGGCUAGCCUCGAGGUAAAGAGUCA
Molecule: ribosomal RNA, 900 nt
Filed under: Listeria innocua
Lineage: Bacteria; Bacillati; Bacillota; Bacilli; Caryophanales; Listeriaceae
Description: partial 23S ribosomal RNA
Rfam family: Bacterial large subunit ribosomal RNA
Source: RNAcentral